GUCUCUCUGGUGGAGUGGUUCUUAACAGUUCAACAGUUCUUUGCCAAAAUUGUGAAAUGUUUAGGACCACUUGAUCAGGC
This is a non-coding RNA of Salmo salar (Atlantic salmon), 80 nucleotides long. NCBI's taxonomy places the organism in Eukaryota, Metazoa, Chordata, Actinopteri, Salmoniformes, Salmonidae. The record is from Rfam.